This 497-nucleotide ribosomal RNA is filed under the name uncultured bacterium. Its description in RNAcentral is "partial 16S ribosomal RNA". It matches the Rfam family "Bacterial small subunit ribosomal RNA", at positions 28 to 507 of the family's 1533-position model. The record is from RNAcentral.
GAUGAACGCUGGCGGCGUGCCUAAUACAUGCAAGUCGAGCGAACAGACGAGGAGCUUGCUCCUCUGACGUUAGCGGCGGACGGGUGAGUAACACGUGGAUAACCUACCUAUAAGACUGGGAUAACUUCGGGAAACCGGAGCUAAUACCGGAUAAUAUAUUGAACCGCAUGGUUCAAUAGUGAAAGACGGUUUUGCUGUCACUUAUAGAUGGAUCCGCGCCGCAUUAGCUAGUUGGUAAGGUAACGGCUUACCAAGGCAACGAUGCGUAGCCGACCUGAGAGGGGGAUCGGCCACACUGGAACGGAGACACGGUCCAGACUCCUACGGGAGGCAGCAGUAGGGAAUCUUCCGCAAUGGGCGAAAGCAUGACGGAGCAACGCCGCGUGAGUGAUGAAGGUCUUCGGAUCGUAAAACUCUGUUAUUAGGGAAGAAAAAAUGUGUAAGUAACUAUGCACGUCUUGACGGUACCUAAUCAGAAAGCCACGGCUAACUACGUG